UACGUAGGGUGCAAGCGUUGUCCGGAAUUAUUGGGCGUAAAGAGCUCGUAGGCGGUUCGUCGCGUCGGCUGUGAAAACCCGGAGCUCAACUCCGGGCCUGCAGUCGAUACGGGCGGACUUGAGUUCGGCAGGGGAGACGUGGAAUUCCUGGUGUAGCGGUGAAAUGCGCAGAUAUCAGGAGGAACACCUGUGGCGAAAGCGGCUCACUGGACCAUUACUGACGCUGAUGCGCGAAAGCUAGGGGAGCAAACAGG
Molecule: ribosomal RNA, 254 nt
Filed under: uncultured bacterium
Lineage: Bacteria
Description: partial 16S ribosomal RNA
Rfam family: Bacterial small subunit ribosomal RNA
Source: RNAcentral